Molecule: long non-coding RNA, 2739 nt
Organism: Synchiropus splendidus (mandarinfish)
Lineage: Eukaryota; Metazoa; Chordata; Actinopteri; Syngnathiformes; Callionymidae
Exons: 4
Source: RefSeq, a predicted model, not a curated record
CCGAGGUUCUGGCAGCUACUAGCGUCGCGCUUCUCUCAGAUGAAAUGUGUGCAUUGAAUGGACGCACAAGGGAUGAUGCAGCGAUCUGAAGAGUGACUGAGUCUCACUCGAGCGUCCAUGCAGGCAGUAAAGCCGAGGCCUGUUUGCAAGGGAAGGCUGCAAGCUGUGACUGUCCCUGAAGCAGAUUGAAGCUACGCCUCACUGACUUCCUCGCUCCCUGCCCAGACCAUGACCACUCUUGAGAGCGGCGCAGAGCUGGCUCGAGAGUCCAGAACGGAACGCAGGAGGUAAAAAAAGAAUAAGACGUGAGAAGGAAGGGCCCAGGAUCACAGAUGAUGGUGGUGAACCUGCUCCACAGACAAACUGCCUCCACAUCUGUGCACUACACAUCGCCGCCUCCAUCUGGCUCCGCCAGCUGAUUGGAGCGGAGCAGACACGCCCCCUGUUUGACAGGACGCCUUGCAAGGUUGAAGACUCUUCAGAAAGAAAGAUGACCUCAUGCAGUCCUGACCGUAAAUAAAGGUGGUCUCACCAGUAAUAUUUCAAAUCACAAAACACAUUUUGUAUCAAUACAUUGCUGAGUCAGCUUUUUUCUGCUUACAUGUAGAUGAAUAUCUGCCGCAUAUUGGGUGGCAGUCCCGAGGAAAAUGAGGACUGAAUUUUUUAAAAUUCAAUUUUUCUUCUUUUUAAACGUAUAAAGGUUGUCGAAAAAGUCUGUAUUAACAUUAGCGCAAUAUUAGAUGUUCUUUAUCCAAAAAUGAAUUCAAUUAAAUGCAAAUUUAAUAGCAAAAAUCAAACUCUUUUUAAAGGAAAUAUUUUACAAAUGUGCAUCAAUAACAUUUAAAUAUGAUGAGAAACUUUGAGGAUGAAUCAUCAGACAACAUUCUAGAAUAUAUUUUGAGUGUGAAAGCUGAUACAUACUGUCGGCUUUUUGUGACGGUGGAACAUGACUGAUGUCCAUUCAGCGUGAUUUUUUCAAUCGUUGCAAGACACCACCUGGAACUGGAUGAGCUGAGAUAAAGACCCACUUUAACCAAAAAUGUUUCGGAUCGAAGAAUAUGAAUUGUUUUUUGAGAUGUCACAGAACUGUUUUCAAGAGAAACUGACCACACAGAGUCCCUGAAGUGACAUGAACCGCUUCAGAUUUGUCUACUGAAUAAGCAACAAUUCAUCCCGCGUUACGGUCAGUGCACCAGCAGCCACCAGGAAUGAAGGAGCCUGAGGUGAGAAACAGCAAUUCCUGGGUCGCUGCUGAAGACCUGGUCAACCUGGACAUUAAACACUCUAAUACACAACCAUUGUUUGUCUGCAUCAGGAGAGUCCAGCUCCAGGUGACAGUGGCAGAGCCUGAAACAGGAAGUGAGAGUUGUUACAGAGCACAGCGGAAUGAAGCUUCUCAGUGGUGUUUCCUUAUAGGCACGACUGACUCCAGAGUUCAGAUAAAGAGUUAUUUUUGUCCCAGCGUGGCCUUGCCAACCAGAUAAUUAGGCCUCUUAACAUGUAUAUAAUAUGUCAACAAGCUGAUAUAUAUAAACUGAAAUAAAAAGUCGCCACAAGGCCUGAUUCUGGAUCAGCUCCAUUUUGGAUGUGCUCAGGAAAAACUCAAAAAGAUCAGACACUACCUUCAAAAGGAUGAGUAGAUAAAGAGUUUGGCUCCCAGCAAAACACGUGGAGCAGAGCCAGUAGGACCAGCGAAAGGUUUGGGAUCAGACAGAAUAUGAGGCGCCAAAAUAUAAAGUAUACUUUAUACCGCAUAAUGUCGUAACAGAACACAUUUCUUAUUCCUGCAUUUUUAGGCUAAAUUGGCAUCCCUCCAUUUUUGUUUGGUGGUGAAAUGCUCUGCACUGCCGCCAUGUUUUUGCUCCCAGAAGCGCCAUGCAUGCAACACCUCCUUCUGUCUUUACAGCCACGACACACGUUCAGGCCAAAUAAUGCAGCACACUGAUCCAGACAUACCACAGGUCCCAAAAUGUACUGCAACAGUUGACGGUUUUAAACAAUAUGCAGAGGCUUCUCAGUGAUGACUGGUUCGAAGAAAGUGCUGAGAAGAAGAGAAUGAAGAGGAAAAUAGAACAGAACUCACCAGAACAAAGAGGUGGAGGGUCUAGAGGUUGAAGUUCUAAACCAGUUUACUGCAGAACACAAUUGUACUGUGUUAUUAUACAGUAUUUGUAAUUUAUAAAUACAUUUUCAUCUGGCGUUUUAGGUGGAAAUGUAGUUUGGCUCAUGUUAUUUUGUGUCAAGGGAAGACAGUGAGGUACAGAGGGAGGCAGGGAGGUAGCACCACAAGAAGGUCAUGAACCAGCUCAAGAUAACUCUGGCGUGGAACAUGGGACCCCUGUGUCUUCCUUCUCCUGUCAGAGAAGAGGAUAAUUGGUGCCUCUAAUAUUGUGUGGAGUGAGAGACACCAGUGCAGGUGUCCUUCAUCUCAUGCCCAAAUGCAGUUGUAGCCACAGUGGGAACAUGAUAUCCGAACUGAAGCAGCAUCCACUCAGGGAGAGCAAGUUUCCGAGGCGUCCGGAUGAAGACCGUGCUCUGCUCAAAGCUCAACAGCCUAUCGAUGAAAAGUCACCACCAGGACCUGCACCUGUUGCUCAAGGUCAUGUGAAGGUCACCUCGGAUGUUUAUGGCGCUCAGUCAACCGUGAAGAACAGAAAUAACACCACAACUACCGGUGAUCCGCUGGAUCAGUGGGAGAGGAAGGACUCCUGCCUGCUGCGCAACAGUGGGUCUUCUCGU